RNAcentral lists this small nuclear RNA (107 nucleotides) under Phascolarctos cinereus (koala). Lineage: Eukaryota; Metazoa; Chordata; Mammalia; Diprotodontia; Phascolarctidae. The record is from RNAcentral.
GUGCUUGCUUUGGCCGGACAUCUAUUAAAGUUGGGUUGAUACAGAGGAAAUUAGCAUGGCCCCUGCGAAAGGAUGACACGCAAAUUUGUAAAGAGAAAACAUGGAGU